UACAGAGGUCUCAAGCGUUGUUCGGAUUCAUUGGGCGUAAAGGGUGCGUAGGCGGCGCGGUAAGUCGGGUGUGAAAUCUCGGGGCUUAACUCCGAAACUGCAUUCGAUACUACCGUGCUUGAGGACUGGAGAGGAGACUGGAAUUCCUGGUGUAGCGGUGAAAUGCGCAGAUAUCAGGAGGAACACCGGUGGCGAAGGCGGGUCUCUGGGCCGAUACUGACGCUGAGGAGCGAAAGCGUGGGGAGCGAACAGG
This 253-nucleotide ribosomal RNA is filed under the name uncultured bacterium. RNAcentral describes it as "partial 16S ribosomal RNA". It matches the Rfam family "Bacterial small subunit ribosomal RNA", at positions 524 to 776 of the family's 1533-position model. The record is from RNAcentral.